UGGGGAAUCUUGCGCAAUGGACGAAAGUCUGACGCAGCCACGCCGCGUGAGUGAAGAAGGCCUUCGGGUUGUAAGCUCUGUCGGGCGGGACGAAAAGCGUCUGGGUGAAUAGCCCAGAUGCCUGACGGUACCGCCAAAGGAAGCACCGGCUAACUUCGUGCCAGCAGCCGCGGUAAUACGAGGGGUGCUAGCGUUGCUCGGAAUUAUUGGGCGUAAAGGGUAGGUAGGUGGUCUCGUUUGUCUGGGGUGAAAGCCUUGAGCUUAACUCAAGAAGUGCCUCGGAAACGGCGAGACUAGAGUCCUGGAGAGGGUCGUGGAAUUCCCGGUGUAGCGGUGAAAUGCGUAGAGAUCGGGAGGAACACCAGAGGCGAAGGCGGCGACCUGGGACAGGGUACUGACACUCAACUACGAAAGCGUGGGGGAGCAAACAGGAUUAGAUACCCUGGUAGUCCACGCUGUAAACGAUGAGU
Molecule: ribosomal RNA, 470 nt
Filed under: uncultured Pseudomonadota bacterium
Lineage: Bacteria; Pseudomonadati; Pseudomonadota
Description: bacterial SSU rRNA
Rfam family: Bacterial small subunit ribosomal RNA
Source: RNAcentral